CAGAGGGUAGUUUAUAAAAAUAUUAAUUUUGGGGAUUAAUGAAAGAAGUCUUUACUUUUUCCUCUGA
This 67-nucleotide transfer RNA is filed under the name Elimaea cheni. RNAcentral's name for it is "tRNA-Pro". The record is from RNAcentral. Lineage: Eukaryota; Metazoa; Arthropoda; Insecta; Orthoptera; Tettigoniidae.